This 73-nucleotide transfer RNA is filed under the name Olea europaea subsp. europaea. It matches the Rfam family "tRNA". Rfam says of the family: Transfer RNA (tRNA) molecules are approximately 80 nucleotides in length. Their secondary structure includes four short double-helical elements and three loops (D, anti-codon, and T loops). The record is from Rfam by way of RNAcentral. Lineage: Eukaryota; Viridiplantae; Streptophyta; Magnoliopsida; Lamiales; Oleaceae.
AGGGAUGUAGCUUAGGUGGUAGAGCGCUCGCUUAGCAUGCGAGAUGUAUGGGGAUCGAUACCCUGCAUCUUGA